This 2405-nucleotide small RNA is filed under the name Pan troglodytes (chimpanzee). RNAcentral's name for it is "retained intron". The record is from RNAcentral. Lineage: Eukaryota; Metazoa; Chordata; Mammalia; Primates; Hominidae.
UGAGCGCGGCUGCUGCCGGCGAGCUAGCGGCGCAGCGGCGGGAACCGGAGGCCGAGCGCCGCGGCGGCAGCGCUAGAAGCGCACCCAUCGGGCACGGCGAGGCGGCCCACGGUGCGGCAGGCACCGGGAGGCGAGAGCCGGCGCGGACAGUAGGCGGCGGCUGCAGCUCGUUGGCGGCUGCUGCGAGGAUGCUGCCUGGGCGGCUGUGCUGGGUGCCGCUCCUGCUGGCGCUGGGCGUGGGGAGCGGCAGCGGCGGUGGCGGGGACAGCCGGCAGCGCCGCCUCCUCGCGGCUAAAGUCAAUAAGCACAAGCCAUGGAUCGAGACUUCAUAUCAUGGAGUCAUAACUGAGAACAAUGACACAGUCAUUUUGGACCCACCACUGGUAGCCCUGGAUAAAGAUGCACCGGUUCCUUUUGCAGGGGAAAUCUGUGCGUUCAAGAUCCACGGCCAGGAGCUGCCCUUUGAGGCUGUGGUGCUCAACAAGACAUCAGGAGAGGGCCGGCUCCGUGCCAAGAGCCCCAUUGACUGUGAGUUGCAGAAGGAGUACACAUUCAUCAUCCAGGCCUAUGACUGUGGUGCUGGGCCCCACGAGACAGCCUGGAAAAAGUCACACAAGGCCGUGGUCCAUAUACAGGUGAAGGAUGUCAACGAGUUUGCUCCCACCUUCAAAGAGCCAGCCUACAAGGCUGUUGUGACGGAGGGCAAGAUCUAUGACAGCAUUCUGCAGGUGGAGGCCGUUGACGAGGACUGCUCCCCACAGUACAGCCAGAUCUGCAACUAUGAAAUCGUCACCACAGAUGUGCCUUUUGCCAUCGACAGAAAUGGCAACAUCAGGAACACUGAGAAGCUGAGCUAUGACAAACAACACCAGUAUGAGAUCCUGGUGACUGCCUACGACUGUGGACAGAAGCCCGCUGCUCAGGACACCCUGGUGCAGGUGGAUGUGAAGCCAGUUUGCAAGCCUGGCUGGCAAGACUGGACCAAGAGGAUUGAGUACCAGCCUGGCUCCGGGAGCAUGCCCCUGUUCCCCAGCAUCCACCUGGAGACGUGCGAUGGAGCCGUGUCUUCCCUCCAGAUCGUCGCAGAGCUGCAGACUAAUUACAUUGGGAAGGGUUGUGACCGGGAGACCUACUCUGAGAAAUCCCUUCAGAAGUUAUGUGGAGCCUCCUCUGGCAUCAUUGACCUCUUGCCAUCCCCUAGUGGUGCCACCAACUGGACUGCAGGACUGCUGGUGGACAGCAGUGAGAUGAUCUUCAAGUUCGACGGCAGGCAGGGCGCCAAAAUCCCCGAUGGGAUUGUGCCCAAGAACCUGACCGAUCAGUUCACCAUCACCAUGUGGAUGAAACACGGCCCCAGCCCUGGUAUGAGAGCCGAGAAGGAAACCAUCCUCUGCAACUCAGACAAAACCGAAAUGAACCGGCAUCACUAUGCCCUGUAUGUGCACAACUGCCGCCUCGUCUUUCUCUUGCGGAAGGACUUCGACCAGGCUGACACCUUUCGCCCCGCGGAGUUCCACUGGAAGCUGGAUCAGAUUUGUGACAAAGAGUGGCACUACUAUGUCAUCAAUGUGGAGUUUCCUGUGGUAACCUUAUACAUGGAUGGAGCAACAUAUGAACCAUACCUGGUGACCAAUGACUGGCCCAUUCAUCCAUCUCACAUAGCCAUGCAACUCACAGUCGGCGCUUGUUGGCAAGGAGGAGAAGUCACCAAACCACGGUUUGCUCAGUUCUUUCAUGGAAGCCUGGCCAGUCUCACCAUCCGCCCUGGCAAAAUGGAAAGCCAGAAGGUGAUCUCCUGCCUGCAGGCCUGCAAGGAAGGGCUGGAUAUUAAUUCCUUGGAAAGCCUUGGCCAAGGAAUAAAGUAUCACUUCAACCCCUCGCAGUCCAUCCUGGUGAUGGAAGGUGACGACAUUGGGAACAUUAACCGUGCUCUCCAGAAAGUCUCCUACAUCAACUCCAGGCAGUUCCCAACGGCGGGUGUGCGGCGCCUCAAAGUCUCCUCCAAAGUCCAGUGAGUGGACGCUGGUCAGCCUGGGGCCAACUGAGGCAGCAGUUGGGAAGGUCCCAACUGAGGUCCCUUGGGAAUGUUCCCUCACAAAACAGGAUUUGCCUUCCUUCAGCUGUCCUCAACUUCUGCUAUUCCUCUGAGGAUGCCUCAAUGGAUCUGUGUUCUUGUUUUCUUCCUAAGCAAGAUGUUCUGUUGUUUUACCACCUUGAAUCCACCUUUCUCUAUCUUGUAUCUUAUCUAAUGCCUAGAAGGUACUACUUUCUAUAAAUUCUCAGAGAGCUAGGAAUUUGAAGUGAUCUGGGUGUGCGUUUGAAGUGUUCUGAUUUAAGGGCACAGUGCGUGGUACAUAGGAAAUCCUUGACAAAUGUUUAUUAAAUUGAAUUAAGUUAACCAACCC